This 301-nucleotide ribosomal RNA is filed under the name uncultured bacterium. RNAcentral's name for it is "partial 16S ribosomal RNA". It matches the Rfam family "Bacterial small subunit ribosomal RNA", at positions 509 to 807 of the family's 1533-position model. The record is from RNAcentral.
CAGCAGCCACGGGAAUACGAAGGGUGCAAGCGUUAAUCGGAAUUACUGGGCGUAAAGCGCGCGUAGGUGGUUUGGUAAGAUGGAUGUGAAAUCCCCGGGCUCAACCUGGGAACUGCAUCCAUAACUGCCUGACUAGAGUACGGUAGAGGGUGGUGGAAUUUCCUGUGUAGCGGUGAAAUGCGUAGAUAUAGGAAGGAACACCAGUGGCGAAGGCGACCACCUGGACUGAUACUGACACUGAGGUGCGAAAGCGUGGGGAGCAAACAGGAUUAGAUACCCCGGUAGUCCCUGUCUCUUAUAC